AGUGAACGCUGGCGGUAGGCCUAACACAUGCAAGUCGAACGGCAGCACAGUAAGAGCUUGCUCUUACGGGUGGCGAGUGGCGGACGGGUGAGGAAUACAUCGGAAUCUACUUUUUCGUGGGGGAUAACGUAGGGAAACUUACGCUAAUACCGCAUACGACCUACGGGUGAAAGCAGGGGAUCUUCGGACCUUGCGCGAUUGAAUGAGCCGAUGUCGGAUUAGCUAGGUGGCGGGGUAAAGGCCCACCAAGGCGACGAUCCGUAGCUGGUCUGAGAGGAUGAUCAGCCACACUGGAACUGAGACACGGUCCAGACUCCUACGGGAGGCAGCAGUGGGGAAUAUUGGACGAUGGGCGCAAGCCUGAUCCAGCCAUACCGCGUGGGUGAAGAAGGCCUUCGGGUUGUAAAGCCCUUUUGUUGGGAAAGAAAAGCAGCAGGUUAAUACCCCGCUGUUCUGACGGUACCCAAAGAAUAAGCACCGGCUAACUUCGUG
RNAcentral lists this ribosomal RNA (492 nucleotides) under uncultured bacterium. RNAcentral describes it as "partial 16S ribosomal RNA". It matches the Rfam family "Bacterial small subunit ribosomal RNA", at positions 29 to 507 of the family's 1533-position model. The record is from RNAcentral.